Molecule: long non-coding RNA, 1225 nt
Organism: Petromyzon marinus (sea lamprey)
Lineage: Eukaryota; Metazoa; Chordata; Hyperoartia; Petromyzontiformes; Petromyzontidae
Source: RefSeq, a predicted model, not a curated record
AAAGCAGCUCAGGACCGGCUCAGAGUACAUUGCUUCCUCUCAUUCAAAAAGGUACAACAAGGCAGAAUAUAAAAUCAGCCAGAAAGACUGAAAUAGAGCUUAAUGGCGCCCACUGCAGCUGUGGAGACCUUUUUUUUGCCAGCAGUCCCGCAAAGUCAGAAAACCUCUCGUGGAAAAGCAGAGACGGGACAGGAUCAAUAACCUCCUGGAGCACCUGAAGAGCAUCGUUCUGGACAGCAGCCAGCAUGAGCAUGCGUCAACGUCCAAACUGGAGAAGGCGGACAUCCUGGAGCUGACGAUCAACUACCUGUGCAAGGUGCAGCAACAGACGCCAGGCGCCCUGCACCCCGCUGCCCACGGCAAGGGGGCCUGCGUUGGAGGCCACGUGGCGUCCACAAGAGAGCGGCAGCCCUUCUCGCCGGGGCCCCACGGCUCAGGCUGGGACAGCGGCGCAGAAACAGAUUUCAGAGAUCAGUUGAGGUUUGCUGCAAGGAAGCAUCAGAAACUGUGGCGACCUUGGUGAAGAUUUAUUUUUCCAAACCGACUUUCUUUCACAUCUGCUGCUGGAACAAUAAUUGCUGUACUGUACAGCGAAGGACUAAUGUUGGGCAUUUUUGUGACCGUUAUGAAAAUUGUAAACUUCUGUGAAGAUGAUUUUUGUUUCCAUUAAUAAUGGUGUUUAAAAUUUUCUGCUUUAUGUGUUUGAUUGUUGUUUCAUGUUAUAUAUUUAAAAAAAUGCAAAGUACUCUGCAAUAAUAUUUUAGAGUGAUGAACUGGUCAUGCUUAAAACUGGGCAAAAUUGUCAGAUGUAAAAACAUUGACACUUUUCUUCUAUGAAUAGAAAGUGUCCGGAUUUUACAUAAUGUAAUACAAUACACAACAUAAAAUCCUUCAAGUUCAAAAUGUGUCUCUCCAAAAAUUGCACUGUUUUAACAAUGUAAAGUUUUCAUGCUUGGUAUGGUUGUAUUAUGCAUAAUUGAUGGGAGGGCAAUUUCAUUAUCCUGCAAGUGACCCAUUUAUUUCAGAGAAUUGAUUAUUUUGUUCCUGUGGAAAUGCAAUUGUAACGGCUGUUUGUGGCAUUUCACACUGCGCCUGUCAGGUGCUCCCUGCAUGAGUGCCGUGAUAAACGCGGGGAAUGUUAUUCCCCAGGUCAUUUGUCUGCGUAUCGUGAAUGUAGCAUUGAAAACUGUGCAGUAUUACCCGUGUAUAUAUUUGCAUUAAAAUU